CUACGGGAGGCAGCAGUGGGGAAUCUUGCGCAAUGGGCGAAAGCCUGACGCAGCAACGCCGCGUGCGGGAUGAAGGCCUUCGGGUUGUAAACCGCUUUCAGCAGGGACGAAGUUGACGGUACCUGCAGAAGAAGCCCCGGCCAACUACGUGCCAGCAGCCGCGGUAACACGUAGGGGGCGAGCGUUGUCCGGAUUUAUUGGGCGUAAAGAGCUCGUAGGCGGUUCUGUCAGUCGGGUGUGAAAACUCUGGGCUCAACCCAGAGACGCCACUCGAUACUGCAGUGACUGGAGUCCGGUAGGGGAGUGUGGAAUUCCUGGUGUAGCGGUGAAAUGCGCAGAUAUCAGGAGGAACACCGACAGCGAAGGCAGCACUCUGGGCCGGUACUGACGCUGAGGAGCGAAAGCGUGGGGAGCGAACAGGAUUAGAUACCCUAGUAGUCC
This 441-nucleotide ribosomal RNA is filed under the name uncultured bacterium. RNAcentral describes it as "bacterial SSU rRNA". It matches the Rfam family "Bacterial small subunit ribosomal RNA", at positions 339 to 796 of the family's 1533-position model. The record is from RNAcentral.